Molecule: long non-coding RNA, 437 nt
Organism: Frieseomelitta varia
Lineage: Eukaryota; Metazoa; Arthropoda; Insecta; Hymenoptera; Apidae
Exons: 3
Source: RefSeq, a predicted model, not a curated record
UUCUUGAAUUUUUGUUCGUUCACACCAAUAUGUCCAAUAAAUGAAGAAUGGAACAUUUGUGGGCAAUUAUGUGAACCAACCUGUGAUCCAAAUCCAAUAACUUGCCCGCCAAUAGCAUGCACUAACGGAACUACCGCCGGUUGUCGGUGUAGCAGUGGUUAUCUCAGAAAUCCAGACAAUGAUUGUGUACAACCAGAAAAUUGUUAAUUUAUGAUUAAUAGAUCAAAACAAUGAUUGUGUACAACGAAAAGAUUGUUAAUUUAUGAUUAAUAGAUUUAUAUCAAUAAAGAAUUUCCGGAGCAUAUUUAAAUAGAGUUAUUUUAAUGUAUUUUCUACCAAAUCACAACGAAGUGAAUUUUUCGUACAAUCCAAAGAAAUUUUUUCAUUAUACUUGAUAGAACAUCAAAACUGAACGAAACAGUUACACAGUUAAAUUG